This 231-nucleotide ribosomal RNA is filed under the name Atocion rupestre. Lineage: Eukaryota; Viridiplantae; Streptophyta; Magnoliopsida; Caryophyllales; Caryophyllaceae. The record is from RNAcentral.
UCACGCAUCGCGUCUCCCCCAAACCCACCUCGAGUGGAGGGGAAGGAUGAUGGCNNNNNGCGUCUCACNGGANGCGGCUGGCCUAAAAUUGGAGCCCUCGGCAUAGGGAUGCCGCGGCGAUAGGUGGUGAACAUGGCCCCGGCCAAGCAAGCAACCCGUCGCGCGUCGCUGUGCCAUUGCGAGCUCGAAGGACCCUUUGACGUUGCCUCGUUGCAACCAAACCGUUGCGAC